UAACGAAUCUUCCGCAAUGCACGAAAGUGUGACGGAGCGACGCCGCGUGCUGGAUGAAGUCCUUCGGGAUGUAAACAGCUGUCAGGGGAAAGAAAGUUCUGAUCUACCCCAGAGGAAGAGGCGGCUAACUCUGUGCCAGCAGCCGCGGUAAUACAGAGGCCUCAAGCGUUAGGCGGAAUCACUGGGCUUAAAGCGUGUGUAGGUGGAUGCCUAAGUGUUUUGUGAAAUCCCACGGCUUAACCAUGGAAUUGCUUGACAUACUGGGCGUCUUGAGCCACUCAGGGGCUACCGGAACAAACGGUGGAGCGGUGAAAUGCGUAGAUAUCGUUUGGAACGCCAAUGGUGAAAACAGGUAGCUGGGGGUGUGCUGACACUGAGACACGAAAGCCAGGGGAGCGAACGGGAUUAGAUACCCCUGUAGUCC
Molecule: ribosomal RNA, 424 nt
Filed under: uncultured bacterium
Lineage: Bacteria
Description: bacterial SSU rRNA
Rfam family: Bacterial small subunit ribosomal RNA
Source: RNAcentral